RNAcentral lists this ribosomal RNA (165 nucleotides) under uncultured bacterium. RNAcentral's name for it is "partial 16S rRNA". It matches the Rfam family "Bacterial small subunit ribosomal RNA", at positions 355 to 511 of the family's 1533-position model. The record is from RNAcentral.
UAGGGAAUCUUCGGCAAUGGACGAAAGUCUGACCGAGCAACGCCGCGUGAGUGGAGAAGGUUUUCGGAUCGUAAAACUCUGUUGGUAGAGAAGAACGUUGGUGAGAGUGGAAAGCUCAUCAAGUGACGGUAACUACCCAGAAAGGGACGGCUAACUACGUACCAG